RNAcentral lists this ribosomal RNA (389 nucleotides) under uncultured bacterium. RNAcentral's name for it is "bacterial SSU rRNA". It matches the Rfam family "Bacterial small subunit ribosomal RNA", at positions 28 to 420 of the family's 1533-position model. The record is from RNAcentral.
GACGAACGCUGGCGGCGUGCUUAACACAUGCAAGUCGAGCGGUAAGGCCCUUCGGGUACGACGAGCGGCGAACGGGUGAGUAACACGUGGGUGACCUGCCCUUAGCUCUGGGAUAAGCCUGGGAAACGUGGGUCUAAUACCGGAUAUGACCUCAUGACGCAUGUUGUGGGGUGGAAAGCCUUGUGCGGCUAGGGAUGGGCCCGCGGCCUAUCAGCUUGUUGGUGGGGUGAUGGCCACCAAGGCGACGACGGGUAGCCGGCCUGAGAGGGCGACCGGCCACACUGGGACUGAGACACGGCCCAGACUCCUACGGGAGGCAGCAGUGGGGAAUAUUGCACAAUGGGCGGAAGCCUGAUGCAGCGACGCCGCGUGAGGGAUGACGGCCUCGG